CGGCAGCCACAGAACCCAACCAAGCAACGAACAGCAGCAUGUUGAGGGGUCGCAGCAGCGGAAGCCGCUCGCCACCAGCUCCAAUCGGGAGGCUUACAGAGCGAUCGGCGGCGGCGAACUCCCGGCGUUCCGCAAACCGGCACGGCACUCCCAGUAUGGCGGCGGUACCGCGAUACCUCCAAGUACUUCCGGGGAAUUCCUCACGCAGCCAGGGCAAGCCGGAAACAGAAGGGCGUCAAGUACCCCAGCCUGCCGGAGGCGGAAGUCGCUACGCAGGGCGCCGCCAUGACUGGGCCUGAUGGGAAGGGACCUUCCUGUCUGCUUUGCGACCGACCGAAACUAGAAGUCAAGGAGGCUGGGCUGGGCGCCGCCAUGACAACUUGAUAUCGGAAAAGGCGGGACUAUUCUCCCUCAUUGAUCCUCCUCCAGCAUCGGCCUCAGAAUGCAGGCAGCCCUGGAGAUCACUGCUCGCUACUGCGGCCGGGAGCUGGAGCAGUAUGGCCAGUGUGUGGCAGCCAAGCCGGAGUCAUGGCAGCGAGACUGUCACCACCUUAAGAUGAGCAUUGCCCAGUGCACGUCCGCCCACCCAAUCAUCCGUCAGAUCCGCCAGGCCUGUUUGGAGCCUUUCAAGGCCUUUGAGGAAUGUCUUCGACAGAAUGAAGCCGCCGUGGGCAACUGUGCGGAGCACGUGCGCCGAUUCCUGCAGUGUGCGGAGCAGGUGCAGCCGACACACAGACCCUCCACCUUGGAGAACAAUUUGAGAAAAAAUUGCAAACAUCAUGGCCCUUUACUCCUUAUGUGAUACAAAGUGCACUCGUGGCAGUGAAAAAUUCAGUGGUGGGGUCCUCCAUAGGCUGGAAUGAUGGUAAGACACGGCAACAGUGAACUGGACUCCCUGGUGUUACUGGAAAUAAUGAGAUUCUGAAAUAGCAGAGGCAGGUGGGAGCACUUAACCAUCAGAGGCAGGGUGGACAUAAUUACUGGAAUGGGCAGCAAUCUUGGAGUGGCAACCAGGGUGUCUUGAUAUACAGAGACCUGGGGCAAUGGCUAAUGAUCCAUAAUUCUUUGGGGAAGAGAUAUGAUGGCAUCUGAAUAUUGUUUGAUUGUAUAACCAGAAAACAUGGACAGCUGGAAUGCAAAAGCCUGGUGCCCUUCACUUCAGUGGAAAAUUACAAGUCCUCACCCAGUUUCUGGAUGAGUCAGUUUUUACACUGACAGACAUGCAUUCCAGUUCCCUGUGAGGAAGGAGUUGGGAAGGCCACUGCAGAAAUGUAUAGUGUUUCUUUAGUUUUUUCUUAAACAGACCUGUGGCUGUUUUCUGGAGAAACUGUCCACCACAGAAGAGAGAAUACAGAGACUUCUUAUAGGUGGCAAGGCCAGCAGAAUACAUUGACUGUCCUGCCCCAGUGCUGCGUUAACUCUCCUGCUUUCUGUUACAACAUAAUCCACAGGGAUCUUGAUCAUCUUGAUAUUCUACAGAACAUGAUACUAAUUGAAUUUUGUUGAACAAAAUAUGUGCCUGGUUACCCAUGCUGACCCCAUAACAAGCACCAUGCCAACAGGCCCAGCGGCCAUAGGAACAUCAACAAGCAAGGAGGUAACUUCGAGGAUGACUUCACUGGAAAAGUAAACACACACCCUGAGGGGAAGGAGACCAGAGUGUUCACAGCUGGGCGGGGCUGGGGAUGCUGCUCUGGAGAGUGCAGGGAGGGAAGGGAGGAUGGAUGGAUGGAGAGUGGACUUGGUCUAGAUUGGAAGGGACGGUGUGAAGGAAAAGACAGAUUUGUGCAGGAAUUACAAGAGCCAGAAGGGGGAAAAAAAAAAAAUUAACUGCUGAGGAUGACAGUCAAAAGGUCUCAUUCUUACUGCAAAUUCAGAGAUGCUAAAGAGGGAGGUCGUUAUUGAUGAAGGAGAUGUAGGUGGGCUAUUAGGCCACUGACCACAUGUGACCCGAAGGAGAUCUGAAAUAUCCUGAACCUUGAAACUGGCAUUUUCUCUCACAGGCUCACAGGUGGGCAUCUAAAUGGUAGUUUGGCAAUACCAUAUAAAUGAGAACAUUCAUGUAGCCUAUGACCCAGCUACUCCACCUGUGCUAGACUACACACACACACACACACACACACAUUAUGAUCUAUUGUUACUCAGCUUUUAAAAGAAUCAAGGAGUUCCAUAUCCAGGUGGUGCUAGUGGUAAAGAACUCACCUGCCAAUGCAGGAGAUGCAAGAAACAUGGGUUCAAUCCCUGGGUCAGAAAGAUUCCCUGGAGUAGGAAAUGGCAACCCACUCCAGUAUUUCUGCCUGGAAAAUCCCACGGACAGAGGAGCCUGGUGGGCUACCGUCCAUAGGGUUGCAAAGAGUUGGACACAACUGAGCACACAUACAUAUGUGAUGACAUGCAGAGGUUAUCUAAAUAUGUUAAGUGAAAAGAGCCAGUUGUAUAACUGUGUGUGGUAGGAUUUCAUUUUAUGAAAAAGAGAAAAAUGGGGGAAUUCCCUGGUGGUUUAGUGGUUAGGACUAGGCAUUUUCACUGCUCAGGGCCUGGGAUCAAACCCUUGGUUGGAGAACUAAGAUCCCACAAGCUGCAUGGAAAAAAAAAAAAGAAAAAAAAAGGUAUAUAUUUUAUA
Cervus elaphus (red deer) is the source of this 2623-nucleotide RNA transcript. It is a transcript of the gene named coiled-coil-helix-coiled-coil-helix domain containing 5, with no coding region annotated. The transcript has 5 exons. The record is from RefSeq and is a predicted model, not a curated record. Lineage: Eukaryota; Metazoa; Chordata; Mammalia; Artiodactyla; Cervidae.